RNAcentral lists this unclassified non-coding RNA (491 nucleotides) under Melitaea cinxia (Glanville fritillary). RNAcentral describes it as "misc RNA ENSMCXG00005014501.1". Lineage: Eukaryota; Metazoa; Arthropoda; Insecta; Lepidoptera; Nymphalidae. The record is from RNAcentral.
CAAGCAGAAUAGCUUAUGUCCGAGUUACAAACAAUAAUAUAAAUAACUUAUUUUUUUUUAAAUAGUGUGUGAAAAUUACUUAAAAAAUUAGCUAUAGGUAAAAUAAUUUGAUUAUAAUUACAAUUAAAUUAGAAUGAUAAUUUUACAAUUAACUAACACAAAUAAGUCGAAUAAUAAUCGGGUCAAAAAAGUCACGUUUCGUCGUGAUAUCGUAUUUUUCGUACAUCUACGACAAAAAGAACAAACGCGUUAUAAGGUACAAAACGAGUAAAAUUUGUAUAGAGAGAUUAUUUUUUUUAUUUAGCGUUUGUAUUACAAAUAUUUACCUAUAAAAACAUCAGCUUUCUUUUGUUGCCGAAUAUGUAAUUUGCGUACUCAACAUGUUUUGUGAGUAAUAAAUAAAUAUGACAUAGCUUAAAAACAUUUACAUAAAAUCGAGAACAUGGAGCUACGAAACUAAGAUUGUCCACUGGCCUCCCACGUUCGAGCCA